This 253-nucleotide ribosomal RNA is filed under the name uncultured bacterium. RNAcentral's name for it is "partial 16S ribosomal RNA". It matches the Rfam family "Archaeal small subunit ribosomal RNA", at positions 474 to 727 of the family's 1478-position model. The record is from RNAcentral.
UACCAGCACCCCGAGUGGUCGGGACGUUUAUUGGGCCUAAAGCAUCCGUAGCCGGUUCUACAAGUCUUCCGUUAAAUCCAACUGCUUAACAGGUGGGCUGCGGAAGAUACUAUAGAGCUAGGAGGCGGGAGAGGCAAGCGGUACUCAAUGGGUAGGGGUAAAAUCCGUUGAUCCAUUGAAGACCACCAGUGGCGAAGGCGGCUUGCCAGAACGCGCUCGACGGUGAGGGAUGAAAGCUGGGGGAGCAAACAGG